AUCACGGCGGCUAUUAAAACCACA
This 24-nucleotide small nuclear RNA is filed under the name Arabidopsis thaliana (thale cress). RNAcentral describes it as "snRNA_19016". The record is from RNAcentral. Lineage: Eukaryota; Viridiplantae; Streptophyta; Magnoliopsida; Brassicales; Brassicaceae.